This 407-nucleotide ribosomal RNA is filed under the name uncultured bacterium. RNAcentral describes it as "partial 16S ribosomal RNA". It matches the Rfam family "Bacterial small subunit ribosomal RNA", at positions 28 to 526 of the family's 1533-position model. The record is from RNAcentral.
GACGAACGCUGGCGGCGUGCCUAAUACAUGCAAGUAGGACGCAGUUGCGAACGGGUGAGUAACGCGUAGGUAACUACCUAUUAGAGGGGGAUAACUAUUGGAAACGAUAGCUAAUACCGCAUACUAGAAGAUGGACAUGCGUUGUAUUAGCUAGUAGGUAGGGUAAUGGCCUACCUAGGCAACGAUACAUAGCAGACCUUAGAGUGGGAUCGGCCACACUGUGACUGAGCCACUGCCCAGACUCCUACGUGAGGCAGCAGUAGGGAAUCUUCGGCAAUGUGGGGAACCCUGACCAAGCAACGCCGCGUGAGUGAAGAAGGUUUUCGGAUCGUAAAGCUCUGUUGUUAAGGAAGCGGUACUUAACCAGAAAGGGACGGCUAACUACGUGCCAGCAGCCGCGGUAAUAC